CCAAAUCAGUGGUCAGUGGCCCCUAAGGCGACCGUUCUUGGGCGCGGCUCGGAGAAGCAGCUUUGCAGGCAGAAGGCGCGCUCCUGGCUGCAAGGAGCCGCGUACACCGCGCGGCGAGGACGCUGGGAGCUACUACGGUCCGCUGACCGCCCCGGGACUUUGGGGCUGCGUAAGGAACUCAUCAGUGUCAACCGAUUAGAAAUCAGGGGUUAAGAAGAAAGCCACGGUUACUCCAGCCUCUGGCGGGCAAAGUUGUCCAGGUCCUGCCUGCCUGCCGGCUUUCUCUUCCUCUUUCCUUGCAUCCGUUUCAUCCGUUUCUCCCCCCUUCCUUUCAGACUCAUUCUUGUUCUUUCUUCUCUCAAAUCGCUUUUCCUCAACCAUACCCGGCCAACACUCUCCCUCCCCAAGACAGUCUGAGACUCACAUUGCAGCUGGAAAACGUAUCACUUAAGAGAAAGCUGUUCCAGGGGAAAGAAUUCGAAUUGAAGUGAAAGGGAUAUCAGAGGAGAGAGAGGGAGACCCCGCCCCGAUAGUCCAGAACACGCUGUAACAAAGCAAAGUCCACGGGAGCUUCACGCUCUACCCUCCAACCUGGCUGCAGGCACCAAAGCAGAACUUCUCCUAACUCAAGCUAAGAAUAGGGAAUAGAAGUCAAGCUCGGGGCCCGGCCCUGCCCCCUCCCGCAGGCGGGGCUGGGGGAGGGGAGAUUUCUCCAGCCUGCUGAUGCUCCCUUGCUCAACCCGGGCCCCUUGGCUGCGGCGGUCUGGGGGAGGGGCACGGAGCGGCACUGGAGCCUGCCCGGCCCUCGCGCCGAGCCAGGGCCACGGCCAGGGACCUGCGGUCCGACCCGGGCUGACAGCGGCGGCGCACUGGGAGCCGGUGGGAAGAUGAUUGUAGCUGGGACCGCGGAACUGCAGGAGGGAGACCACGAGGAAGUGUUGGGGGAAGCCAAGCCUCAGCUCAGCCCGGGCAGCAAGCACCUACCUGAUUCCAGGGAACCGGAGUCCUGCGGUGGCAGUCACGUAAUGAUCGGGUAUCAGAAAAAGACGUCAGCAUCCUAGUCCCUCAAGGAACAUAUUAACUAUUUUGUGCUGUCCUCUUGGAUGAUAAGAUCCGGAGUCAUCGACUUCUCAUAAACACCUUUCACUGAUACAAUCCAAUUUUUAAGAAGUGCAAUUAUUUUGAUGGUGUUCAAUUUUGCCCAUUUCUCAAGGAUGGGUAAAGAAUUCAUACAAUUUCGAGGAUGCUCUGCCUCUGGAGUAAAUUCGCACACAAAGAGUCCGCGGGGAACACAACCAGAUAAUGAAGCAGAGACGUCUUUUUUACCAAAGCGCCCAAAGCUAUUACCGACUGUGACUUCCCUGUCUUCCGUCUUGCUUCGCGUCAAAGGUGAAUCUGAUUAAAAUCCUUACUCUUCCCUCCCACACGAAUUCUGAAAUGAGUUCAAUCUGUAGAAAUAUUUGAAAAUUUCCAAGACUCCUUGUACAAAUCCACUACUCAACUUUAGUAAAGGGAGCCACCAUGUGGGGAGAUUGUUGACUUCAUGGCCUAUCAAAGGGAAAACCACAAACACCAUUAACUUUGUGGGGAGGGUGAUGGAAGUACUGGCUCUGUGGUCCGCAAGAAUCUGAACUGUGCCCUGGCUUACAAGGGCUUGGCCGCUUUCACUCUGCUCAGCUUAGGCACUCAGGACCUAACUCAGCACGGAACUCAGGCUCAGCACUCCAAAAUUAACGGCCUUGAGACCUGAACCCAUUCAAGAAAGUGAAAAAUUAAGCAGAGAAUUCAUUUUAAGAUUCUUGGUCACUGACCUCAGGAAAAUCAAGCUUCCAAAAUCCAACUGUUGCUCAUCAAAAUCUAAAGAACUGCCCAGCCCAACCCACAGAUGCCUGGGGGAAAUCAAGCCCGGGACAGGAUGGUUCCACGGAUCUUUCUGCUGCCACUGUCCAUCUCUGAUUAAGCCAGUUUGGCGUCCUUUGAGCAAAGAAGCUUUCCUAUUCUCGAAAGUUUUGGCCCUAGGCCCUUGAACCAAGGGAUUCCAGGAACACUGAGGAAGGAGAGUAACUAGAAGCUGAGGAUUGGGCUCUCAAACUGCUCAGCCCUGCAGUUGCACCCCAACCUUGCCAAAUCCUCCUGCGCACAGGCUCUUUCUGCUUUCUAUUGGGUGGAGACAAAUACAGAGCAACUGAUGUCUCAAAGACCAAAACUGCCCCCAAGUGCCCCCUGAGAGUAGUAAUUUGCUGUUACCAUCGAGGAGCAUCCUAACUCAGAGUGUUAACGCUGCUUCCACGGAGCCUUUGUAUCUGGGGAGCGGCAAGGAGGAGGAGUGCAUCAGGUAGCACUGCUGGGCUAGACAGGCCCAUAGCCACCGGACAAGUACUGAGGUGCCCUGGCUGAGGAGGCCGUAUUAAACUGCAGCUAGUACAUACUAGUUCUUAGCAAAUGCAGGCGUCAGUCUGGCUUAAAAGGAGGCGUGGGGCCUGCACCGCAGAUCGGAUGGACUCACAACUAACCCAGCAUUGCUGGGAGGAGAAGGGGAAGAGCAGGGAGAGUGAGGGAACUGGGGCAAGGCAGGUCAAGGGAGGGGAGCCUUCCAAUUUUAUCCUGCUCUCACCGUUUCUCUCCCAAAGAGAUUUUUACAUUCUCCUAAGGCAACUGAGGUUAAGAACGAGAGAGAACCCUUCAGAUCUCCUAUAUAUAAUUGCAAAUGACAGGGGAGAAGAGGGAGGGGAUGAAGAAGGGACCCAAAAGUUAGAACUUCCAAUUAACCAGUAACACAAAGGAAUUUUACUCUUUCGGACAGCUCCACCCUGUCCACACAACCUUCGUCCGUCCGGACAAAGUAGAAGGAUUCCCAGGCAACAACGUUUCUUCCCAGGUUAUGGAAGCUUAGACUGGCAUAGACUGGACUAGACUGGAAUCAUGUCUAGUUCAAAAAGCUAGUGGAACCACGGAAAUCUUUCCAGUGGUAGGUUUCACCUAUGUCCUCUGAGAGCCGGAGGGACAGAAGGCAUCACUCUGGGGCUAUGCCUCAACCUACCCAGCAGAGGCUGUUUGGAAAUAUUUGUUGAAAAUGAUCAAAGACCUUGAAUGUCAACCCCUGAUGUAUUAACUGAUUUUCAUCCUAUUUGUCCUUAAGACAUGAAAACAUAACUUUUGGUCUGAAAUGGUGAAUGCUAGCUACAAGUCAAACUAAUACUUGCCUGAAUUGUUUUUCCUGUUCACUGGACACAUCAGUCUUUGUUGAAGCUUCCAGCCUCGAAACCUCAGUCAACAGUCGAUUUAAAGAUUGUUUUACAAACUGAGGGUUGAUGGGGG
Molecule: long non-coding RNA, 3318 nt
Organism: Herpailurus yagouaroundi (jaguarundi)
Lineage: Eukaryota; Metazoa; Chordata; Mammalia; Carnivora; Felidae
Exons: 3
Source: RefSeq, a predicted model, not a curated record